RNAcentral lists this ribosomal RNA (494 nucleotides) under uncultured bacterium. Its description in RNAcentral is "partial 16S ribosomal RNA". It matches the Rfam family "Bacterial small subunit ribosomal RNA", at positions 28 to 507 of the family's 1533-position model. The record is from RNAcentral.
GACGAACGCUGGCGGCGUGCUUAACACAUGCAAGUCGAACGGAAAGGCCUGCUUUCCCUUGUGGAUUGCGGGUACUCGAGCGGCGAACGGGUGAGUAACACGUGAGUGAUCUGCCCCCAACUUGGGUAUAAGCCUGGGAAACUGGGUCUAAUUCCCGAUAGGACUGCAGGGUGGUGCCUGUGGUGGAAAACGAUUUUCUAGUGGUUGGGGGUGAGCUCGCGGCCUAUCAGCUUGUUGGUGGGGUAAUGGCCUACCAAGGCGGCGACGGGUAGCCGGCCUGGGAGGGUGGACGGCCACAUUGGGACUGAGAUACGGCCCAGACUCCUACGGGAGGCAGCAGUGGGGAAUAUUGCACAAUGGGCGGAAGCCUGAUGCAGCGACGCCGCGUGGGGGAUGACGGCCUUCGGGUUGUAAACUCCUUUCGACCGCGAGGAAGCCACCUGGUUGGAAGGGUGGUGACGGUAGUGGUAGAAGAAGCACCGGCUAACUACGUG